UACGGAGGGUGCGAGCGUUGUCCGGAAUCAUUGGGCGUAAAGGGCGUGUAGGCGGCCCGGUAAGUCCGCUGUGAAAGUCCAGGGCUCAACCCUGGGAUGCCGGUGGAUACUGUCGGGCUCGAGUCCGGAAGAGGAGUGUGGAAUUCCUGGUGUAGCGGUGAAAUGCGCAGAUAAUCAGGAGGAACACCAAUGGCGAAAGGCAGCACUCUGGGACGUGACUGACGCUGAGACGCGAAAGCGUGGGGAGCAAACAGGAUUGAGAUAC
Molecule: ribosomal RNA, 265 nt
Filed under: uncultured bacterium
Lineage: Bacteria
Description: partial 16S ribosomal RNA
Rfam family: Bacterial small subunit ribosomal RNA
Source: RNAcentral